AUGAGUCGACCUGAUGGGAUCAGCAUCCCCGACGGCAAGUUCUACCUUGGACAUGCCGGCUAUGCAUGUCGGUCGGGUAUUCUUCCAUCCUUCGGGAAAACCAGGUACCAUCUCAACGAGUUCUUUGGUAGGAACUAUCUUAGGACUGCACAGGAGCUGUUUAAUCUCAGACACUCCAGUCUUCGAGUAACUGUUGAGAGGGCAUUUGGAACUCUGAAGAAUAGGUUUAAGAUCCUGGAUCAGAAGCCAUUCCGCCCAUACUCCACUCAGGUUAAGCUUGUUCUUGCUUGUUGCAUUUUGCACAACUGGAUCCUCCAGUGGGGCUUUGAUGAACACGUGCUUGAGGAGGAAGUGGUCGAGCCUGACGAUGUUGUUAGCUCCGGCCAUGGUGUGGAGACAUUUGACAAUGACGCUUGAAAAAACAAAAGAUUGGAGUGGGCAGAGGCAAUGCGGCUUAACAGAGGUCGGUGCAAGAUUUAA
RNAcentral lists this ribosomal RNA (480 nucleotides) under Triticum aestivum (bread wheat). RNAcentral's name for it is "partial small subunit ribosomal RNA". The record is from RNAcentral. Lineage: Eukaryota; Viridiplantae; Streptophyta; Magnoliopsida; Poales; Poaceae.